RNAcentral lists this ribosomal RNA (422 nucleotides) under uncultured bacterium. Its description in RNAcentral is "bacterial SSU rRNA". It matches the Rfam family "Bacterial small subunit ribosomal RNA", at positions 355 to 774 of the family's 1533-position model. The record is from RNAcentral.
UAAGGAAUAUUGGUCAAUGGACGAAAGUCUGAACCAGCCAUGCCGCGUGGAGGAUGAAGGUCCUCUGGAUUGUAAACUUCUUUUAUCUGGGACGAAAAAAGGUCUUUCUAGAUCGUCUGACGGUACCAGAUGAAUAAGCACCGGCUAACUCCGUGCCAGCAGCCGCGGUAACACGGAGGGUGCAAGCGUUAUCCGGAUUCACUGGGUUUAAAGGGUGCGUAGGUGGGUUGGUAAGUCAGUGGUGAAAUCUUCGAGCUUAACUCGGAAACUGCUAUUGAUACUAUCAGUCUUGAAUAUUGUGGAGGUUAGCGGAAUAUGUCAUGUAGCGGUGAAAUGCUUAGAUAUGACAUAGAACACCAAUUGCGAAGGCAGCUGGCUACACAUAUAUUGACACUGAGGCACGAAAGCGUGGGGAUCAAACA